UAUGAAAAUACAGUGUUUACACUAGAUUGCCUGCAGGGAGCUAUAGAUCUCAUCUGAACAACUACAUUAAGCUGUACUUGUUUAGGUGACUAUAGUGUCCCUUUAAUGCCCUGUCAUGGAAAAUUUCCUGUUAAGUUGGAAGUGUUGAAAAUUCUGUCCAGCCGUUAACAGAGGCUGUCCCAAUAUGUCUUCCCUCAGCAGUAUAGUGCGACGUCCAUAUAUUAGGGGUCUCACCCGAGGUGCACAGAGUCUGAACCCUUAAGUGCUAGCCACCGCUCUGGUAGACCACAUCAAUCAGUUCUCAAACAAUUAAAUGGGUUGUCGACGGAGAAAUUCAUGUAAGCAGUGAGUGCUGAAAAUCCUGUCCAGCAGUUGACAGUCUGUAACAGCAUGCCUCCCUGCAGCAGUGCAGUGUACAUCUAAUAGGGUCCUCAAGCCGGGUGCACAGGGUAUGAACCCUAAAGUGCUGGCCAUCAGCCUUAUAGAGAGCCCCCCUCAGCUCUUCCAAUUAAUGCACUGUCAUGGGAGAUAUCCUGCUAAGCUGGAAGUGUUGAAAUUUCUGUCCAGUAGCUAACAGACAUUGUCAUAGCCUGCCUUCAUUCAGCAGUAUAGAGUAGCGUAUACAUAGCGGGGUGCCCAGUGUAUGAAAACAGUUGUUCAAAGGUCUUGGUAUAUCUCUUUAAGCCGUGUGUUCUGGGAAUCAUGUUGUAAUAGCCUGACUCUAUACAGUAGGACAAAGUAGAAUGACCUAGCCAGGGGUAACCCCAGGUGUAUAGCAGUACAGGAUAUGAACUCUAGAGUCACCGUCCUGAGAGAGCACUAAUUUGUGUUCUAACAGUAAUCUGAGGUAAUUGGGAGGUAUCCCUCAAACAUCCCUAACUGAAGUAAUUCCACAUAAGGUGUAGCACAGUCCUGAUAAGGCAUCCUAAAAACGCUACCAAACAAACAAUCUUAUAUAGGGCUAAUCCCUUCAAGUCAUUGGUGGAAUAGCGGGUGUCUUCCCUCUUCUGAACUUCUAUUCGAGAAUGUCAAGUUCCU
This is a non-coding RNA of Pelobates cultripes (western spadefoot toad), 1038 nucleotides long. Lineage: Eukaryota; Metazoa; Chordata; Amphibia; Anura; Pelobatidae. The record is from the annotation of a GenBank genome assembly.